GACGAACGCUGGCGGCGUGCUUAACACAUGCAAGUCGAACGAUGAAGCCUAGCUUGCUAGGUGGAUUAGUGGCGAACGGGUGAGUAAUACGUGAGUAACCUACCUUUAACUCUGGGAUAAGCCUGGGAAACUGGGUCUAAUACCGGAUACGACCAAUCUCCGCAUGGGGUGUUGGUGGAAAGCGUUAUGUAGUGGUUAUAGAUGGGCUCACGGCCUAUCAGCUUGUUGGUGAGGUAACGGCUCACCAAGGCGACGACGGGUAGCCGGCCUGAGAGGGUGACCGGCCACACUGGGACUGAGACACGGCCCAGCCUCCUACGGGAGGCAGCAGUGGGGAAUAUUGCACAAUGGGCGCAAGCCUGAUGCAGCGACGCCGCGUGAGGGAUGACGGCCUUCGGGUUGUAAACCUCUGUUAGCAGGGAAGAAGAGAAAUUGACGGUACCUGCAGAGAAAGCGCCGGCUAACUACGUG
This 471-nucleotide ribosomal RNA is filed under the name uncultured bacterium. RNAcentral's name for it is "partial 16S ribosomal RNA". It matches the Rfam family "Bacterial small subunit ribosomal RNA", at positions 28 to 507 of the family's 1533-position model. The record is from RNAcentral.